UGGGGAAUUUUGGACAAUGGGCGAAAGCCUGAUCCAGCAAUGCCGCGUGUGUGAAGAAGGCCUUCGGGUUGUAAAGCACUUUUGUCCGGAAAGAAAUCCUUGGCUCUAAUACAGUCGGGGGAUGACGGUACCGGAAGAAUAAGCACCGGCUAACUACGUGCCAGCAGCCGCGGUAAUACGUAGGGUGCAAGCGUUAAUCGGAAUUACUGGGCGUAAAGCGUGCGCAGGCGGUUGCUAAGACCGAUGUGAGAUCCCCCGGGCUCAACCUGGGAACUGCAUUGGUGACUGGCAGGCUAGAGUAUGGCAGAGGGGGGUAGAAUUCCACGUGUAGCAGUGAAAUGCGUAGAGAUGUGGAGGAAUACCGAUGGCGAAGGCAGCCCCCUGGGCCAAUACUGACGCUCAUGCACGAAAGCGUGGGGAGCAAACAGGAUUAGAUACCCUGGUAGUCACGCCCUAAACGAUGUCAACUAGUUGUUGGGGAUUCAUUUCCUUAGUAACGUAGCUAACGCGUGAAGUUGACCGCCUGGGGAGUACGGUCGCAAGAUUAAAACUCAAAUGAAUUGAC
RNAcentral lists this ribosomal RNA (565 nucleotides) under uncultured bacterium. RNAcentral's name for it is "partial 16S ribosomal RNA". It matches the Rfam family "Bacterial small subunit ribosomal RNA", at positions 355 to 914 of the family's 1533-position model. The record is from RNAcentral.